AUGCGGGUCGGGCGAAAAAACCUGCCCGAUCAGACCCCGCAUCCCGUCCCUGAUGAGGACAUCAAUACCAUUGUUACAUCCACAGCCCCUGCUGCUAUACAUACUGGACCAAUUACUAGAGCUCGCGCACGCCAACUAAAUUACCAGGUACUUUCGUUUCUUGGUAAUGAUUCUAAUGUUCAUGAGAAUAUGAUGCUGCCUAAAUUGGAUACAUUUGUUUUGCUUACAAAUAAAGGGUCUAGCUUGGAGAAGGAUGAACAUUGGAGCAAGAACAAGCAUGGAGAUGACGCCAUGCGCAAGGAGAACAAGAACGGAGUUACAAGUGAUGAUUUCAGGUCUUUGAAGCCACCAUAA
Molecule: ribosomal RNA, 354 nt
Filed under: Triticum aestivum (bread wheat)
Lineage: Eukaryota; Viridiplantae; Streptophyta; Magnoliopsida; Poales; Poaceae
Description: partial small subunit ribosomal RNA
Source: RNAcentral